UGGGGAAUAUUGCACAAUGGGCGCAAGCCUGAUGCAGCCAUGCCGCGUGUGUGAAGAAGGCCUUCGGGUGUAAAGCACUUUCAGCGAGGAGGAAGGUGUGAGCUUAAUACGCUCAUCAAUUGACGUUACUCGCAGAAGAAGCACCGGCUAACUCCGUGCCAGCAGCCGCGGUAAUACGGAGGGUGCAAGCGUUAAUCGGAAUUACUGGGCGUAAAGCGCACGCAGGCGGUUUGUUAAGUCAGAUGUGAAAUCCCCGGGCUCAACCUGGGAACUGCAUUUGAAACUGGCAAGCUAGAGUCUCGUAGAGGGGGGUAGAAUUCCAGGUGUAGCGGUGAAAUGCGUAGAGAUCUGGAGGAAUACCGGUGGCGAAGGCGGCCCCCUGGACGAAGACUGACGCUCAGGUGCGAAAGCGUGGGGCAGCAAACAGGAUUAGAUACCCUGGUAGUCCACGCUGUAAACGAUGUCGAUUUUGGAGGUUGUGCCCUUGAGGCGUGGCUUCCGGAGCUAACGUGUUAAAUCGACCG
This 524-nucleotide ribosomal RNA is filed under the name uncultured bacterium. Its description in RNAcentral is "partial 16S ribosomal RNA". It matches the Rfam family "Bacterial small subunit ribosomal RNA", at positions 355 to 871 of the family's 1533-position model. The record is from RNAcentral.